Molecule: transfer RNA, 79 nt
Filed under: Burkholderiaceae bacterium
Lineage: Bacteria; Pseudomonadati; Pseudomonadota; Betaproteobacteria; Burkholderiales; Burkholderiaceae
Description: tRNA-Ile
Rfam family: tRNA
About the family: Transfer RNA (tRNA) molecules are approximately 80 nucleotides in length. Their secondary structure includes four short double-helical elements and three loops (D, anti-codon, and T loops).
Source: RNAcentral
GGGCCUCUAGCUCAUGCCUGGUUAGAGCAGCGGACUCAUAAUCCGUCGGUGCCGGGUUCGACUCCCGGGGGGCCCACCA